Molecule: microRNA precursor, 78 nt
Filed under: Schistosoma margrebowiei
Lineage: Eukaryota; Metazoa; Platyhelminthes; Trematoda; Strigeidida; Schistosomatidae
Description: mir-3492 microRNA precursor family
Rfam family: mir-3492 microRNA precursor family
Source: Rfam by way of RNAcentral
AGCCUUCCAUAUCCGUGCUGACAUUUCAUCACACAUCAGACCACAAGGACUUAUAAAACUUCCAAGAUAAGUAAAAUG